RNAcentral lists this ribosomal RNA (389 nucleotides) under Ixodes persulcatus (taiga tick). RNAcentral describes it as "partial large subunit ribosomal RNA". The stretch from base 113 to 389 matches the Rfam family "Bacterial large subunit ribosomal RNA", at positions 2078 to 2600 of the family's 2925-position model. Lineage: Eukaryota; Metazoa; Arthropoda; Arachnida; Ixodida; Ixodidae. The record is from RNAcentral.
CAGUUGCAUAGAUUUUAAUGAGUGCUAAGAGAAUGAUUGAACAAUUAUAGGCUUUCUUUAGUUAAAUAAUUAAAUUUAAUUUUUUUAGUGCAAAAGCAAAAAUUAAAUUUAGGGACAAGAAGACCCUAUGAAUUUUAAUUUAAUUUAUAAUUUGAAAUUUUAAAUUAAAUUUGAUUGGGGCGAUGGAAAAAGAAUGAGUAUCUUUUUUAGUUUUAAAAAUUGGUUCCGUUUUUAACGAUUAAAUGAGAAAAAUACUCUAGGGAUAACAGCGUAAUAAUUUUGGAUAGUUCUUAUAGAUAAAAUAGUUUGCGACCUCGAUGUUGGAUUAGGAUUCUUUCUUGGCGAAGAAGUUAAGAAAAAGAAGUUUGCUCAACUUUUAAAUUCCUACA